This 413-nucleotide non-coding RNA is filed under the name Pan troglodytes (chimpanzee). The record is from RNAcentral. Lineage: Eukaryota; Metazoa; Chordata; Mammalia; Primates; Hominidae. RNAcentral also lists the same sequence under 1 other name.
UGUUAAUGUAAACUGCAUUUUUAUCUUCCAAAUUCUUGGAUCCUAGCUUUCCUUCAUCAAAAAGAUAUAUUGCCUAUACAUCUUAAGGACUUGGACAUAAAAAUUUGAGGUCUUUUUAUGAUGUUUUAGGUCUGAAGACUUGCGGCGUGAAUUUGGUCGUUAUGGUCCUAUAGUUGAUGUGUAUGUUCCACUUGAUUUCUACACUCGCCGUCCAAGAGGAUUUGCUUAUGUUCAAUAUCCUUUCUUCAGAUGGCUGAUUAGUGAGGGGUGUUGAAGUUUGAAAUUCAAGUUUAUAGAAUGUAAAGCUGUACAGUUAUGGCGACCCCAAAGAGAAAGCAUGAAAGAACCUUUAGAGUAGAGUUCAACACUUAAGGCAAGUAGACAAGCCAAAGACCUCUUAAGGAUCAGGCUUG